GUAGGUGGCAAGCGUUGUCCGGAAUUAUUGGGCGUAAAGCGCGCGCAGGCGGUCCUUUAAGUCUGAUGUGAAAGCCCACGGCUCAACCGUGGAGGGUCAUUGGAAACUGGGGGACUUGAGUACAGAAGAGGAAAGCGGAAUUCCAAGUGUAGCGGUGAAAUGCGUAGAGAUUUGGAGGAACACCAGUGGCGAAGGCGGCUUUCUGGUCUGUAACUGACGCUGAGGCGCGAAAGCGUGGGGAGCAAACAGGAUUAGAUACCCUGGUAGUCCACGCCGUAAACGAUGAGUGCUAAGUGUUAGGGGGUUUCCCGCCCCCUUAGUGCUGCAGCUAACGCAUUAAGCACUCCGCCUGGGAGUACGGCCGCAAGGCUG
This 372-nucleotide ribosomal RNA is filed under the name uncultured organism. RNAcentral describes it as "partial 16S ribosomal RNA". It matches the Rfam family "Bacterial small subunit ribosomal RNA", at positions 527 to 896 of the family's 1533-position model. The record is from RNAcentral.